GAUGAACGCUGGCGGCGUGCCUAAUACAUGCAAGUCGAGCGAACAGACGAGGAGCUUGCUCCUCUGACGUUAGCGGCGGACGGGUGAGUAACACGUGGAUAACCUACCUAUAAGACUGGGAUAACUUCGGGAAACCGGAGCUAAUACCGGAUAAUAUAUUGAACCGCAUGGUUCAAUAGUGAAAGACGGUUUUGCUGUCACUUAUAGAUGGAUCCGCGCCGCAUUAGCUAGUUGGUAAGGUAACGGCUUACCAAGGCAACGAUGCGUAGCCGACCUGAGAGGGUGAUCGGCCACACUGGAACUGAAACACGGUCCAGAAUCCUACGGGAGGCAGCAGUAGGGAAUCUUCCGCAAUGGGGGAAAGCCUGACGGAGCAACGCCGCGUGAGUGAUGAAGGUCUUCGGAUCGUAAAACUCUGUUAUUAGGGAAGAACAAAUGUGUAAGUAACUAUGCACGUCUUGACGGUACCUAAUCAGAAAGCCACGGCUAACUACGUG
Molecule: ribosomal RNA, 497 nt
Filed under: uncultured bacterium
Lineage: Bacteria
Description: partial 16S ribosomal RNA
Rfam family: Bacterial small subunit ribosomal RNA
Source: RNAcentral